Cotesia glomerata is the source of this 503-nucleotide long non-coding RNA. RefSeq lists it as uncharacterized. Lineage: Eukaryota; Metazoa; Arthropoda; Insecta; Hymenoptera; Braconidae. The transcript has 3 exons. The record is from RefSeq and is a predicted model, not a curated record.
GUCAUGUCCACUAGUGUUAAAUAUAACACAUCAAAUUUUGUUCAUCGACAUAACUUGAAUUAUAUUUUAUAUUUUUAUUUUUUUAAUCGCAAUUAUAAACUUAUAAAAGGAAGUGAUCAAGUACGGACAAAUACGGACAACGUACUGAGCAGAACUGAGCCCCAGGGCCCCAACCCUGACCUGCCUCUCGCAAACACCCUUUCGGAGCUCCAUAUACUCCCUCUUUACACCCCUGUCGACCAACCAAUGCAACCCACUAUUAUGCUGUAAAAAAAGUACGCCCCUUGUAUCAAUUAACAAUGCAGCUAAAUUAGUAAACAAUGCUCAUUGACGGCUUACUCAUUAAAUGUACAUAGACUACUUAUUAUGAUCUUUGUAAGUGGAACCUCGCAAUGGAAUUUUAAAUGUAAAAUAAUUUCAAGUUAUGAUUUAAUGAAAUUUAAAUUAUUCAGCAGGUGAAUGUGUCACUGGAAUUAACGAAUAAUGAGUAAAUUAAUGGUGCG